AGAGUUUGAUCAUGGCUCAGAUUGAACGCUGGCGGCAUGCUUUACACAUGCAAGUCGAACGGUAACAGGUCUUCGGAUGCUGACGAGUGGCGAACGGGUGAGUAAUGUAUCGGAACGUGCCCAGUAGUGGGGGAUAACUACUCGAAAGAGUGGCUAAUACCGCAUGAGAACUGAGGUUGAAAGCGGGGGGACCUUCGGGCCUCGCGCUACUGGAGCGGCCGAUGGCAGAUUAGGUAGUUGGUGGGAUAAAAGCUUACCAAGCCGACGAUCUGUAGCUGGUCUGAGAGGACGACCAGCCACACCGGGACUGAGACACGGCCCAGACUCCUACGGGAGGCAGCAGUGGGGAAUUUUGGACAAUGGGCGCAAGCCUGAUCCAGCCAUGCCGCGUGCAGGAUGAAGGCCUUCGGGUUGUAAACUGCUUUUGUACGGAACGAAAAAGCUCUCUCUAAUACAGGGGGUGAAUGACGGUACCGUAAGAAUAAGCACCGGCUAACUACGUG
This 503-nucleotide ribosomal RNA is filed under the name uncultured bacterium. RNAcentral's name for it is "bacterial SSU rRNA". It matches the Rfam family "Bacterial small subunit ribosomal RNA", at positions 8 to 507 of the family's 1533-position model. The record is from RNAcentral.